UGCGGAGGGAUCAUUACCGAGUUUACAACUCCCAAACCCCUGUGAACAUACCUUACUGUUGCCUCGGCGGAUCAGCCCGCUCCCGGUAAAACGGGACGGCCCGCCAGAGGACCCCUAAACUCUGUUUUUAUAUGUAACUUCUGAGUAAAACCAUAAAUAAAUCAAAACUUUCAACAACGGAUCUCUUGGUUCUGGCAUCGAUGAAGAACGCAGCAAAAUGCGAUAAGUAAUGUGAAUUGCAGAAUUCAGUGAAUCAUCGAAUCUUUGAACGCACAUUGCGCCCGCCAGUAUUCUGGCGGGCAUGCCUGUUCGAGCGUCAUUUCAACCCUCAAGCCCUCGGGUUUGGUGUUGGGGAUCGGCGAGCCUUUCUGGCAAGCCGGCCCCGAAAUCUAGUGGCGGUCUCGCUGCAGCCUCCAUUGCGUAGUAGUAAAACCCUCGCAACUGGAACGCGGCGCGGCCAAGCCGUUAAACCCCCAACUUCUGAAUGUUGACCUCGGAUCAGGUAGGAAUACCCGCUGAACUUAAGCAUA
This 530-nucleotide ribosomal RNA is filed under the name Fusarium sp. PHY-15. RNAcentral describes it as "eukaryotic LSU rRNA". The stretch from base 166 to 319 matches the Rfam family "5.8S ribosomal RNA". Lineage: Eukaryota; Fungi; Ascomycota; Sordariomycetes; Hypocreales; Nectriaceae. The record is from RNAcentral.